GCAUUAGCAGUGGCUAGCGACAGUGGCGAGGAAACACUCCCUUUUAGGAAGAAAACCUGGGACAGACCCAGGCUCUUGGCAGGCGGAGUCUGACGGCCGGUUAGGGGUGUGAUGAAGAGUAGCAAUAA
Molecule: long non-coding RNA, 128 nt
Organism: Etheostoma spectabile (orangethroat darter)
Lineage: Eukaryota; Metazoa; Chordata; Actinopteri; Perciformes; Percidae
Exons: 3
Source: RefSeq, a predicted model, not a curated record